This 384-nucleotide ribosomal RNA is filed under the name uncultured bacterium. RNAcentral's name for it is "bacterial SSU rRNA". It matches the Rfam family "Archaeal small subunit ribosomal RNA", at positions 339 to 727 of the family's 1478-position model. The record is from RNAcentral.
GCGCGAAAACUUUACAAUGCGGGAAACCGUGAUAAGGGAACUCCGAGUGUCCGUAAAUGCGGACUGUCCGUCUGUUUAAAAAGCAGGCGAAGAAAGGGCCGGGCAAGACCGGUGCCAGCCGCCGCGGUAAUACCGGCGGCUCGAGUGGUGGCCACUAUUACUGGGCUUAAAGCGUUCGUAGCUGGGUCGUUAAGUCUCUUGGGAAAUCUACCGGCUUAACCGAUAGGCGUCCAAGGGAUACUGGCGAUCUAGGGACCGGGAGAGGUGAGGGGUACUUCAGGGGUAGGAGUGAAAUCCUGUAAUCCUUGGGGGACCACCUGUGGCGAAGGCGCCUCACCAGAACGGCUCCGACAGUGAGGGACGAAAGCUGGGGGAGCAAACCGG